GUUUUGGAACUUCAAUCAUAUUUAAUUUCUUGAAUGGUGAAUGGUAAAAUUUGAGAAGCAAGGCACAUUAUUGUUCCAAGGUCCGCUCCAGCUCAUUCACACUAUGAGAGCUGGCCAUGUCCAAAGUUGUUACCUUAACGGCAAGCAAAGGGGUGUCGAAGGCAGGACUAGUGAUUGGAGUGACGUCGUAACAAGGUAGUCGUACUUGAAGAUGCGGCUGGAUCACUUCCUUU
Gossypium hirsutum (cotton) is the source of this 233-nucleotide non-coding RNA. NCBI's taxonomy places the organism in Eukaryota, Viridiplantae, Streptophyta, Magnoliopsida, Malvales, Malvaceae. The record is from Rfam.